RNAcentral lists this ribosomal RNA (497 nucleotides) under uncultured bacterium. RNAcentral's name for it is "partial 16S ribosomal RNA". It matches the Rfam family "Bacterial small subunit ribosomal RNA", at positions 28 to 507 of the family's 1533-position model. The record is from RNAcentral.
GAUGAACGCUGGCGGCGUGCCUAAUACAUGCAAGUCGAGCGAACAGACGAGGAGCUUGCUCCUCUGACGUUAGCGGCGGACGGGUGAGUAACACGUGGAUAACCUACCUAUAAGACUGGGAUAACUUCGGGAAACCGGAGCUAAUACCGGAUAAUAAAUUGUAACGAAUGGUUCAAUAGUGAAAGACGGUUUUGCUGUCACUUAUAGAUGGAUCCGCGCCGAAUUAGCUAGUUGGUAAGGUAACGGCUUACCAAGGCAACGAUGCGUAGCCGACCUGAGAGGGAGGACGGCCACACGGGAAGAGAGACACGGUCCACACUCCGACGGGAGGAAGCGGUAGGGAAUCCUACGCGAUGGACGAAUGCCUAACGGUGCAAAGCCGCGGGAGGGCUGACGGUCUUAGGAUCGUAAAACUAUGUAAUUAGGGAAGAACAAAUGUGUAAGUAACUAUGACCGUCUUGACGGUACCUGAUCAGAAAGCCACGGCUAACUACGUG